CUGACACAGGUGCUGCAUGGCUGUCGUCAGCUCGUGUCGUGAGAUGUUGGGUUAAGUCCCGUAACGAGUCGCAACCCUUGUCCUUAGUUACCAGCACGUUAUGGUGGGCACUCUAAGGAGACUGCCGGUGACAAACCGGAGGAAGGUGGGGAAUGACGUCAAGUCAUCAUGGCCCUUACGGCCUGGGCUACACACGUGCUACAAUGGUCGGUACAAAGGGUUGCCAAGCCGCGAGGUGGAGCUAAUACCCAUAAAACCGAUCGUAGUCCGGAUCGCAGUCUGCAACUCGACUGCGUGAAGUCGGAAUCGCUAGUAAUCGUGAAUCAGAAUGUCACGGUGAAUACGUUCCCGGGCCUU
This 357-nucleotide ribosomal RNA is filed under the name uncultured Pseudomonas sp. RNAcentral's name for it is "bacterial SSU rRNA". It matches the Rfam family "Bacterial small subunit ribosomal RNA", at positions 1029 to 1382 of the family's 1533-position model. Lineage: Bacteria; Pseudomonadati; Pseudomonadota; Gammaproteobacteria; Pseudomonadales; Pseudomonadaceae. The record is from RNAcentral.